Non-coding RNA from Pelobates cultripes (western spadefoot toad), 99 nucleotides. The record is from the annotation of a GenBank genome assembly. Lineage: Eukaryota; Metazoa; Chordata; Amphibia; Anura; Pelobatidae.
GUAAGAACUGAAAUGUUGACCGGAUUGUUAAUUUCAUCAGGUAAGUUUUAAUCCAAAAAUGAAUUCAGUUUACAAUCUGGUCAACGUUUCAGUUCUUAC